AUUUACACAAAGCGCUUUUCUGAGGAUGACUGCACUUUAGCACCAUUACUGUAAAAAAGGAAGGAAAAAAAAACGGCCUGAACAUUUGAAGGAAAAGCACUUGCUUCCUGUAAGGAGGCUCAGGCAGCAAAGGCUGCACCUCUGCUGUCUGUGUGUCCCUGAGGUACUUUAGCCUCAGGUACGGCUGUUGGUGGGAAAAGGCCAGACCCGUGCCACCCUCCGAAAGGCAACACAGGUGUUUUCUGGUGACCGCCGGGCUGGUGACCUUUGUGCUCAUGUAAUGAAAGCAGCUGAUGUCACGCUCAGGUUCCUAUCAAGCUCUCCCGUUCCCUGUGCUGUGCGUUUGUGAACUUUGUUUCUGCUUGCAGCACCUGAACCCCGAUGCUCCUGGCCAGGCUCCCGCUCAGCCCGUACUGGCGGCAUGCCAAGCUGCGACUUGGCAAAGGAGAGACACCGAGCCUGCUUGCUGUUUGCUCAAAGUGCCCAGUGGACCACUGGAAGUUCUCCAAACCACACUGGCUUGGAAGAAAAUUCUGGGAGAAGCUGAGAAAAAGGGGCUUUUUUCCUUGGAUCGCCUCAAGAAGCACCAGCGGAUAUUUGACAACAUGGGGAUAGGAAAUGUUGCAGCGUAGGCAGCCAGCUUCUCCUGCUGCUGCCAUGAAAUGAAACAUAAACACAUUGAUCCUAUAAGAAAAGAGUUGAUCCUUGCUUGUGGUAUGCUAGUUAUGAGCAAUUCAGAUAGAUACUGCAUGGAGGUUGGGUCAUAGCUGACAAAACAUGCCGGGAGGCAUCUCCCUCCUUUUUAGAUGCAGAGGAUUACAUCUGAGUUCCUGGCUGUGUUGCCACACUGAGACCAUCCCCCAGUUGAUUUUGGGAAGUGGGACCAUAUGAAAAACCACGGUCAGAAACAUCUGGGAAGCAAGCCGGCCUGUCCAAAGUUUACAUUGUCAGCCCCAUCCAGAUAAAAUGAGAGCUGCCUCAAGUUGUUAACCCCAGGGGCACUUGGAAUCAGAGAUCUGUGUCAGAUCCAAAUAAAAUAAAAAAAAUCCCAAAAUGUAGCCUAAAAUGCAAAUUAAACCAGAAUAGGAACCAUUUGUUUAAAAGAGUAAUCAUAUAAACAAAGGGUGAAAAAAAAAAAAAAAAAAAAAGAAAAAGAAGAAAAAAAGAAGAAAAAAAAAAAGACAGAAAGAGCAAAUAAGAGGUUCCCCACCGUUUUCUGUCCCUGAAGGAUGGAGAUGGUGUUUAUUCUCCACACAGUGAGGCAGACAGGUCUCUGUGCUAGUAAGUCUCAUAAAUGCCACCCUUGGCUCUGCUGUCACAUCUCUUCCUGCUGCAUCCCCAACAAUGCCUUUUCCAGGAGGCUGAGUGAGCAAGAAAGAAGUCCUAAUGUUUGAACCGUGGUUCAGGGCUCAGCGUGGGGAAUGAGAUAGCAGCCAGAGAAGAUUUACACAACCGAAAUCCUCCGCAAGACCUGUGUCAGCAAACAUACACCAGGCUGCUUUGGGUUGCGUGAUGCUGCCUGCAGGUAGGGCUGUAGCAAGUCAAGCUGUGAUGGCAGUGGCUCCACGUGGGCUCGUCACACCAGCAUGGGUAUCCAGAGCAAGCAAGCUGUAACAGCAUGGAGCUUGGUGUGGGCUGAAAAAGCCAGCUGGAAAAGCCCAUGGGAGCUAAGCCCACACUGAGCUCCACAUUGCUCCAGCUCAUCUGCUGCUUUUGGCCACACCAGCCCACCACUGCCUCAGGCAGGUCUGCAUCGCAGGGCUGGCACUGCUGCAGCUGCUCCACGAUGCUGGGCUUGCCACAGGGCACUGGGGUUUUCACCCCCCGGGCUUCCCUCUCCCAGCUCCUCAUUGCCCCCACCACCAACCUAGCCAGAGUUAUCCAGGAGGAUGGGUCAUCUGAGGACACAUUAUGAAGUGUCAGACUGCUCUGAGACAGCGGUUUACACAUGUGAAAACCCAGGACUCGUUCUCCGUUGCUAACUCCACCCAGAUGAAAGUUACUGGUGCCAUUCCUGGCUGAUCUCAGGAUAAGUAAAAGCAGACUUGAGCCCUUAACUUCUACACGCUACAGAGAAAUUCUGUUUUCCUUCAUGGAAGGGAUGUUGGAAUUAAUUGUUAUACUUGCAUAAUAUGAUGCUGAAGUGCACUUUUCCACUGCGUAAUUUCUAGAGGAAAAAAGUGUAAUUACACAAUAUUAAGUACAAACUUAAAAAAAAAAAAAAAAGGAAAAAAAAAUGUAUGGUAGGAGGGAACUGCAGAAAAUAGCCGCACAACACAUUAGAAACCCAAGAAUUUUGAAGGCAAAAAAAUAUGAAAGUACUCCAAAUGUAUUACGAUCAUGAUGCACCUUUAGGACAUAUAUACACCCUAGUGAUGCCCUAAGACAAUGCCUGAACAGGGGACAAUAAGAAAUAAGUGAACGCAAAAUAACUUACUCUAAGACUUUUCCUGAAAACUUGGCUUCAGAUCAGUACGAAUGGCAAAGACUCUGAUACCAUUAUUCUAACAGCUAUUCCCCAAGCCCAAGGUGGGCAGUGUGAUGUCAAGAUGUGACCUGAGGCCCUGAGGUUAGCCCGGCUUGCAUUUAUGCAUCCUUACGCAUCCGCGCAUCACAAGGACCUGUCCGCCUUGGCUCUGCACUUGGGACACAUCCUGCACAUUGCUUUCCCAGCUGGGCCCAGCCCAUCCCGGCCGGUGACUCAACGGUGAGAGGGGUGGAAGUGUCGCAGAGCCCCGUUGUCCUGACUCAUCGGCUAUUAUUGUCGCGCAGGUGGACAAUGCAGCGAGGGGAAUUUCUCCAGCGCUGCCAGAAAAAGCAGCACCGCCACCUCCACAUUGCUGCUGUGAAAAUAAAAAUAAAGAUUUCUUUGUGGGGGUCGCAACUUCAGGCUGGUCCCUGGAAGCCUGUGGGCUCCUGACAGAAGCGGGACUAGCAUCUCUCUGUGUAAAGAAAGCUCAGGGACCACCUGCUGGCACUGAGCCUUGCCAAGAGUUACGUUUAGGGCUUCUGCCUGGGUUCUGUUUCGCUUGCCUUAAGCCAACACCCACAACAUGUGCACCUCUGGAUGCUGUGUAGGAUAUUUGUGCUGUCCACAGAGCAGAUCCAGGGUAUCAGGUUAUACAUGGCUUUUGCCAAGUCGCCUUUGCCAAACUGAAAAUUUCCUGAUUUAUCAGCUUUGAUCUCUUUGGCAGAGGCUGUGGAGUGAAACAUUUCAGCUAUUAAGAUUUUGCAAGAAAGCGCUGGCUGCACUGGCUUCUGAUCACAUCCCAUACGUUUUCAUUUUGGGGACCGGUCCGCACUGUGUCCCCCACAAAGAGCAGAGUUAGGAGGGCCAGGAGGACUGCUUGUAGGAAGGCAACGAUUUAGGGUCAUUUCCCCCACAGCUGCCAGGGACUUCCAGCCAAACCCAUCCACCUCCAGUGCCCUCAUCCUCCUGCGGGCAC
Molecule: long non-coding RNA, 3446 nt
Filed under: Cairina moschata (Muscovy duck)
Lineage: Eukaryota; Metazoa; Chordata; Aves; Anseriformes; Anatidae
Description: domestica (muscovy Duck (domestic type)) lncRNA (ENSCMMG00000003797.1)
Source: RNAcentral